GCGGGAGUAGCUCAAUUGGCCAGAGCAUCAGCCUUCCAAGCUGAGGGUUACGGGUUCGAGCCCCGCCUCCCGCU
This 74-nucleotide transfer RNA is filed under the name bacterium. RNAcentral's name for it is "tRNA-Gly". It matches the Rfam family "tRNA". Rfam says of the family: Transfer RNA (tRNA) molecules are approximately 80 nucleotides in length. RNAcentral also lists the same sequence under 1 other name. The record is from RNAcentral.